GGGGUUGUGGCUCAGUGGUAGAGCACUUGCCUAGCAUGCAGGAGGCACUAGGUUAGAUUUCCCCA
Molecule: transfer RNA, 65 nt
Filed under: Ictidomys tridecemlineatus (thirteen-lined ground squirrel)
Lineage: Eukaryota; Metazoa; Chordata; Mammalia; Rodentia; Sciuridae
Description: Spermophilus tridecemlineatus (thirteen-lined ground squirrel) tRNA
Rfam family: tRNA
About the family: Transfer RNA (tRNA) molecules are approximately 80 nucleotides in length.
Source: Rfam by way of RNAcentral